RNAcentral lists this ribosomal RNA (449 nucleotides) under uncultured bacterium. RNAcentral's name for it is "partial 16S ribosomal RNA". It matches the Rfam family "Bacterial small subunit ribosomal RNA", at positions 331 to 794 of the family's 1533-position model. The record is from RNAcentral.
CCAGACUCCUACGGGAGGCAGCAGUGGGGAAUAUUGGGCAAUGGGCGCAAGCCUGACCCAGCAACGCCGCGUGAAGGAAGAAGGCUUUCGGGUUGUAAACUUCUUUUCUCAGGGACGAAGCAAGUGACGGUACCUGAGGAAUAAGCCACGGCUAACUACGUGCCAGCAGCCGCGGUAAUACGUAGGUGGCAAGCGUUAUCCGGAUUUACUGGGUGUAAAGGGCGUGUAGGCGGGAAAGCAAGUCAGAUGUGAAAACCAUGGGCUCAACCUGUGGCCUGCAUUUGAAACUGUGCGGCUUGAGUGCGGGAGGGGCAGGCGGAAUUCCGAGUGUAGCGGUGAAAUGCGUAGAUAUUAGGAGGAACACCGGCGGCGAAGGCGGCCUGCUGGACCGUAACUGACGUUGAGGCUCGAAAGCGUGGGGAGCAAACAGGAUUAGAUACCCCCGUACA